CUGAACAGGUUUGUACAGCACAACAGUGACAUAUUUUGAACAGAAGCGAUGAGUAAAACCAAGAGCCACCACAGAACGUGGGGCCUCUCGAUUCUCAAUGUAAAGAUGGUUGAGAAUUACACUCUGCGGUGCAGGAAUAGUUUCAGAAGUGUCUGCACUCCCUGGGUAGCUAAGCAAGGUAUGUUGCAGGUGCGAAGGGACUAUAGGCGGGGCACG
RNAcentral lists this unclassified non-coding RNA (216 nucleotides) under Hevea brasiliensis (rubber tree). The record is from RNAcentral. Lineage: Eukaryota; Viridiplantae; Streptophyta; Magnoliopsida; Malpighiales; Euphorbiaceae.